AAAAAGCCUUAGCUUUCUCUU
RNAcentral lists this small nuclear RNA (21 nucleotides) under Arabidopsis thaliana (thale cress). RNAcentral describes it as "snRNA_17206". The record is from RNAcentral. Lineage: Eukaryota; Viridiplantae; Streptophyta; Magnoliopsida; Brassicales; Brassicaceae.